GAAUCCCCACAACGGAGUGAGCUCCUGUUGCUCUGUCCCAGCUUCUGCCAACCUAGCAGUUCGAAAGCACACCAGUGCAAGUAGAUAAAUAGGUACUGUUGUGGCAGGGAGGUAAACGGUGUUUCCGUGCGCUCUGGUUUCUGUCACAGUGUUCCGUUGCACCAGAAGUGGUUUAGUCAUGCUGGCCACAUGACCUGGAAAGCUGUCUGCGGACAAACACUGGCUCCCUCGACCUGAAAGCGAGAUGAGCGCCGCAACCCCAUAGUCGCCUUUGACUGGACUUGACCGUCCAGGGGUCCUUUACCUUUACCUAUAACUGUAAUACCUAAAUGAGUACAUAAGAAGAUCCCUGCUAGUCCAGCAUCCUGUUCUCACAGUGGCCAGCCAGAUGCCCCCAAGAAAGUCUGCAAGCAGGAACUAAAUGCAAUAGAGUUCUCCCUUCCAGCAGUAGCCUGCAGCUGGUAUUCAGAGUCAUACCACCUCUGAUGAUAGAAGGAGAACAAAGGUGUUAUGGCUAGUAGCCAUUGAUAAAAGUUAACAAACCAGUCUUCCCGCUUCCUUUCUUUUUAUGUAUUCUUAAGAAAUGGCCUUCAAGCUUAAUCUCUGCCUUCUUUCCCCGCUUUCCCUUACUUUGAGAUUGGCAAAGGGGGGCCUACUGGUGCAGCUUAAUGAGUGUUGCUUCUGUGGUGAGGGCCUCUUCUGUGGUGGCACCCCCAUGAUGGACUUCAUCCCCCUUGGAAGCGUGAAUAGCCAGGACGUUAAUGGGUUUUUGCUGGUUUCUGAAGAGACUCAUCUGUCCUCAAAAGCCUUUGGUGGUUGAUUCAGUGCUGUUGUUUCUCCCACUGGGCCUUGUUGUAAAAGGAAAUGAAAUUGCUAUAGGUUCCGAUUUAUGGUCCGAUAGUGUUUUGAUGAUAUUGUGUUGAUUUAAUUGUUAUCGAUGUGCACUUUUAUGCUUAGAGGUCACUAGGACAUAAAAGUGGGUUAUAAUAAUUCUAAAUGCACAUUUUGGAAAGUUGUGUGUUUGUUGUGCAUCUCUUAAGAGAUCCUAACCCAGCUUUGCAUGUUCCUGAAACCAAGGAGCAGGCUUCCACCUGUGCAUAGAUGCACUUGGGUGCUGUAUCAAAGCUUCACUGAUCUUAACCACUGAUUUCAAAACUGCACUGAUUUUUUUUCCACAUUCUUUGUGUUCCAGAGCAAUUUGGGGCACAAGGCUACUAGUAAAUAAAUGGCACCAGACGCCAUUGAUUGGACAGGGUUGCAAAGCAUCCAGCUCUACUUCCCAGGCUUUACCUGUUCUAGAGAAGGGGAAGCAGGGAGGGAGAGAAGGCUAAUGUUUCAUCCACGCUGGAGGAGGUUGUUACUCCUCCGACACCUUUAAAAGGGUACAAGUCCCUGAUGUGAGCUUUGUUAAAUGAUGACUUGUAAUCUCUUUAUUCAGUUAACUCAUUUGCCUAGCACUAACAGCUGAAGAGCCGCUUUGCAAGGACUUUGAAAACGCAUAGGAAACACUUGCUGUUAAUUACUGGAACAUGGAAGGAUCUCAGAGGAUGCAAACAAGAAGGAUAAUUAUCAGGGAGCGUUUAAUUUUUAAAAGAAGGUGGGAGAGAACUGGGGACACGUAUGCUGAGGAUGAUAAUGGAGAGGCAUGUGGAAACGCAAUCACACAGACAUUUCCCUUUAUGCACCUUGAAUCAUAUUGGGAGGGCUUUUCCAGUCUAAAGGACUGUGUAAAAAAGAUGGAGAUAGGGAGGGAAAUCCCAGGCCCCAGGGGGCUAAUGUGGCCCUCCAGGCCUCCCUGACAGGCCCUCAGAACUAUCCCCAGGUCACACCCUCCUUGAUUGCUUUUGUCUGGCUGGAAUACGUCCUUGAAUUUUGAUAAUACUUCUUGCUUGCCUGCAUGGAAGAUGGAGAUAGAGAGCUCUGUGUGUGUAGAAACCUCUGGCUCUUGUGUGGCUGAAAUGUAGACUUCUAUAAAGAGGUGAGACCCACAUUCCUAACUCCUCCCACUUUCGCUUCUCGCUCCACCCAGUUUUCCCCUCUGGACACCACCUGCAUGUGGACCUCAGAAGGUUUACUGAGGAAAGGCGGCCUCCAAGCUUUUUCAGCUUGAGAUGAGAAAUCACCUGGCAUAGUGUGUUGGACUUCAAGCUGGGUGACCGAGUCAGAUUGUUGGUCCAUCCAGCUUUGUCUACACUGACUGGCAGUGACUUUUCGGAUUCCAGGGAGGAGAUGUUCUCAGCCCUAUCUGGAGAUGCCAGCGAUUGAACCUGAGACCUUCUGCGUGCAAUGCAAAUGCUCUUCCACUGACCUAUGUCCCUUUCCCCAGGCAAAGACAUGGUUCAUGCUGACUGUUGCAUUGUAUGUCCCCGCCUCCAAGUGUCUUGUCUCUACCCUGAAAGAGUUGUUUGGCACAAACUCUUUUAUCUGGCCCCAAACCCUUUGUUCUCUUGCGCUGCUUAAGACCGGUGUGUUAGUCCUUUAAUCCUCAUUCCGCCAGAACUUUGGAUGGGAUGGAGGAUGUUUUUGUUUUAUUUUUGGAACAACUGAGCAACGCAGCCAAGGAGCACAUGAGGAAUGCAGUUGCUAGGACAGAAGCCAAUUGCAGAAGCAACUGUCUAUAAAAAUUGUCCACUCUUUGGACAGCAAAUCCCUGCGCUGAAUAUUCUACACUCUUAAUACAAGCAGCACACGACAUCCCUUUGGGUAUCUCGUGGUUGCUGCCUGAACAGGCUCACAUCAAGCCAACUGGGCUGCGAGGCAAAGGGAAGCCGCUCUGUCUUGGCCACACCAGGGAGCAGAGCAGAGCUUGGAUAUGAAAGCUGACAAUGUUGGGGGGGGGCAAAUAUUAAUGUAUUUAUUAAGCAAUCUGAACCGUCUCUUCAUCUGUUUUUGCCAAGAUGAAGGAAGCUACUUGAUGUAGCACAUAUGGCUGAAGGGAGCACAAAGUAGAGCAUGCAUGAGAGAUGGAGAGAGAAGGAGGGAACGCGUUCACCCCUUGAGGUCAUUGGUUUGCAUCCAGCCCAAAACCAACGCCAAAGGAUGUUACCAUCUGACAGCUCUUUGGUGGCCUGUUGGAAGGGAUUUGGUGGUUUCUGACGAAUCCUGUGUGGGCAGGUGUCCACGUUACACUUGGCAGCAAGCGGUGUUCUCGCUUGGCAGCCUGGGCGAAAGGCAUCGCAGAGGGGAGCAGCUGGGGAGGUCGGCUGCAUGAUUGGACGGCCUCCCGUCAUCUGCACGGCGGGGCAGAGAUCACCCAAGAGUGAGAAGAGCCGGGAGGACUCGCAAGAGCGUAAGAAGCCCUGACACAUCAUGCCAAGGGUCUAUCUAGUCCGGCAUCCUCUUUCUCACAGUGGCCAACUGGGUGCCCACAGGAAGCCCUGGGGCAUGGACAGGAAAGCAGAAGCCCUUAAGAGUACUCCCCACUAACGUCACUUUCGCUAAUCACAAAGCUUGAUCCUUUUGCUGAUUACAAAGGUGCCUGGGAUGAAUGAAUUACAAGAAGCAAUCAUUCGCUUUUUUUUUUAGGCUUAUUCUUUGUAAUGUGAGAAUAGUCACAUCAGAAUGUCUUGCAUUGCCAGUAGUAGGAGCCACCUGUGUGUCUGGCUUUUUCCGAGCUGAGGACACCUGCCUACUCUUCAUUUCCAGGGCUCAUCUAGGCAGCAACAUCUGCCUAGAUCUCCUUAAAGCCAUCCAAGUUAGUGACUUGUCUACAGCCUGAUGCCUGCAACCUCUGGUUGACUUUGAUUAGUGGUGGCUCUCCAGGGUUUCAGACAGAGAAGGGUCUUUACUGUCACCUACUACUUGAUUAUUAUUUUUUAAACAGAGUUGCACCUUGGACCUUCCACAUGCAAAGCACCUUCUAACGCUGCCAUCGUUCAUUCCUGUUAUUUAUUGGAUGCUUUUAAGGGCUAAACUGUAGCAGAGAAAAAUAAAAACAGUAGAACCUUAAGCAACAAAUGAAGCACUGAGUAGAUACAGAAAAACAGAUGCGUUUUGAGAACCUGAACUAGAUUGCCUCGACUCUCUUAAGGAAGGGACCCCUGCUACAGUGUGGACCAUGAGCGUGGGGGGCAGGCUUUAUGUUAGAACUGAGUUAUCUGUGAUGCACUCUCCCUCCUGCAGUUUCCAGCAACUGGCAUUCAGACACAUACAGUCAUACCUUGGAUCCCAAAUGCCUUGGUACUCGGACGUUUUGGCUCCCAAACGCCACAAACCCAGAAGUGAGCGUUCUGCUUUGUGAACGUUCUUUGGAACCCAGACGUCCAACAGGGCUUCUGCGGCUUCCGAUUGGCUGCAGGAACUUCCUGCAACCAAUCAGAAGCCAUGCUUGGGUUUCAAAACUCUUUGGAAGUCGAAGUAACUUCCAGAACAGAUUCCGUUCGACUUCCAAGGUACGACUGUACUGCCUCCAACAUUAGAGGGAGAACAUAGACAUCCUGGCUAGUAGCCACGGAUAGCCUUCGUUUCCAUGAAUUUGUCUAAUCUCUUUUCAAGCCAUUCAAGCUCAUCUCCUGAUCACCAUCUUCUUCCACUAGCAUGAGAUACAUUGCUCUUAUAUUUAACAUAUGGACAAUGCAAUCUAUACUCAGAGCAGACCCUUGGAAAUUAAUGGGCAUGGCUAGCUAAGGCCCAGUUGGUUUACUCUGUGUCCCAUUAAGUUGGAUACAACCCAAUAUUUCUAAAUGUUGUUGUUGUUUAGUCAUUUAGUCGUGUCCGACUCUCCGUGACCCCAUGGACCAGAGCACGCCAGGCACUCCUGUCUUCCACUGCCUCCUGCAGUUUGAUCAAAUUCAUGUUGGUAGCUUCGAGAACAUUGUCCAACCAUCUCGUCCUCUGAUUUUUCUUUACAGCAUUGGCCUUUCCUUUCGCUUCCAGGCAUAUCUGCAACAAAUAAGUAAGCACAUGCAAAUUUCGUGCAAAUCCACAUUUUCUUUUGCCCUCUCACUCUUUUUAGCAAUAUUCUUCCUCUUUGGAGGCGAUUUGUUAAUUGGACACCUUGCCAACUAAUAAGGGGGCUCGGAGUGGCUCGGAGGGUUGUGGCCACCAUCCUGCAGCAAGCAGAUUGGUUGCCUGUCUUUGUUUAGAAGGCAUUUCUUAGGUAAUUAUCUUCAGCCAAUUCUACUCUUUCAACUUCAAGAAGGGUGGCGUAUCCAGGCACAAAGCUGGAAAUGAAACACAUCUGGAGGUCCAAAAGGGGACAGCGGCUGAUUCUUAUUUUGCUGUUUUCUGUGUAUGCGAUUUUUUAAACAACAACAAUGAAGAACAAAGUUCUGUAUCUUGCUAAUUGAAUGCACAGACUCUUUUUUUCUCCUCCUUUUUUAUUUUUUAUUUUUUGAAAACGACACCCGGAUUCUGUUUCUGUGCCAUUAAUGGGACUCUGUUGUUUGAUCUCAUCAAGGCCAUUUUGACCAUGUGUUUGUGGUAAUUCACUAAAACGUGUGAGGCUUGAGUUGGUGGCAUGUCCUGACCCUCCAGUCUGAAGGACAACAACUCUCCAAGGGGUCUUGCACUUCCCUUUUAAUGUCUUAUUUGGCCAACAGCAGUUCCUUGAUCACGCCAAGCCGUGGAGUUACUUAUGUUCAUAUCACAAUGCCAAAUGACCCUACCGAGCCAAAGUUGAAAGCAGAGGAACUAUGGCUUGUCUUCAAUGAACAUAUGAACAUGAGAACAUCCAAAGAGAAUAGCUAUCGUGGCUGGUAGCCUUCAGGAGCCCUUUCCUCUGCGAAUGCUAGCCAGUGAGUCUACUCUAACUAGAACUUCGUUGGAUGCAUUUUUGGUUUUUGGUUUUUAAAACUGAAUGGAAAUGGGAGGCCUGCUCCAAAAAAAUGAUACUAAUUCUUCAUUCCAUUAUCAUCUUUCUUUUUUUAGAACUAAUGGCUGGGGAGAGAAGUGGUACUCAGGACUGGGGCUGUUGUGUGUGGAGAUUUGAUUCUCUACCAGAAAAGACUCAGAGGCCAUUCGUAGAGCACAGGGGUGUGGGUUGCAGAUAGAGAUGGGGACAAAUCUGAUUUGGUUCACAUUUAAAGAUGAACCUACCUAAUUGCACUUUUCAGAACAAGAGACAAAAUAAGCUGUCCUUCAGAAUUUGGACUUCUUCGAACUGUGCAAUGCAGUUCUCCAACAAUUUUACAGAAAUGUAUAGAUCAGGGGGAAAGUGUGCCUGAAAAAUGAAUAUUUUAGCUGAAGUAGCAUACGUAAAUGCGUUUUGUGUAGGGGCAAUUGCUUACAGGAGUGUGUACGUUACUCAAAGCUGCAUACAGGAAUGUAUUUAUCAGCAGAAAUUGGCCUUAAAAUGCUAUUGAACUUUCACAACGGCUUUUC
Non-coding RNA from Podarcis lilfordi (Lilford's wall lizard), 6321 nucleotides. NCBI's taxonomy places the organism in Eukaryota, Metazoa, Chordata, Lepidosauria, Squamata, Lacertidae. The record is from the annotation of a GenBank genome assembly.